AAUUUCCUACUAUGACAUGUGUGUUGGACAGUGUAGGGCAUAGCAAUGAUUAGUGAUUUUCAGCAGCCUUUCUUGAAUAGGCAUUGAAAAUAGCUAAACAAAAAAAGAGAAAUGAGCUGAAUUCUUGGAGUUAAUAUUUUGGAGUGAAUUAUAAAACAGAGUUCUUGCAAUAAUGCAUGUAAAUUAAAAAUAGGUUAGCAAAGCAUGAGUAAAAAUAGUCAAUUUUCAAAUACUUUUCACAGCUCUCCGAGUCUGACAUAUUUCUCUGGCUAAAAGGGAAGAAACAUAUCGGCACUCAUGUUGGGAAGACCUUAGAACAGCAAAGUACUAAAACUUGCCAAACCAACUUCAAGUGGCUUUCUUGUUAGUGCAAUACACACUGCACUGAGUUCCUGAGCAUAAUAUUUCCACCCUUUCCCACGGAGUCUGCUUAAAUUUGAAGAUUUUUUUUCUAGUAGGUGUAUUGUCCUUAAUUUUGGAGGAAGUUUUAAAAAGGUGGAUUAAUGUUAUAUAUGCUUCCGAGAAUAUUAUGCAACCAUGAAGCUUUGCACUUCAACAUAAAUGAAUCCCAAAAAGAGCCAGAUGAACUGUUGGCUGGGAGGCAGAGCCUUAGGAUGUUUCAAAUUCAUCGUGACUUCACAUAAAGGUCCUCUCUGGAGUAUGAAAGUCAAUUUUACAGGUGUAAAAUAAAGGAAAAGACGACAGUCUGAAAGUCAAACGAAAUUCCAGGACCACCUGUAUUUCAGUGAGGCUAGACCCUCCACUAUAACACUGAAUAGAAUUAGAGAAAACAGCUAUCUUGCCUUGUUCUCUAUCAUAGAAGGAAGCAUUCAGAAUUCCACUACUAAGUAUAAUGGUCACGUGCCAUAGAUGGAGCAGAGUGAAGCAAGAUAAAGCCUGUUGAUUUUUCAAUUCUUGUAGUUUUCCUAAGCUUGCAGAGAAAACUCCAAGUAUUUUUUGCAAGGAAAAGUUGAUGAUACUGAUGAUGAUGGUGAUGGUGAUGGUGGUACUGAUUAGAGUGCUGAUGGUAGUAGUCCUGUAACUUGAACAAGGUUACAGGACAAGUAGAAUAUGGCAGAGAUGGAAUUUGAACCCAAGCAAUCAAAUUCAAAAGACUAUACUCUAAAGCAAUGGCACUCAGGGAGUGAUCCAUCAGUGCCUGUGCACAACAAGGUCCACAACCUGGCAUUUAGUGGUAGGCCUGGAGCUGCUCUUGGUCAACAGUGUCAGAAGUUGGGAAGAAGAGCUGCAUAUCAAGCAGAAGAGAAUGAGAAGAAACAGGAACCCACUUCUGCAUCUGUCUAUAGCAACAUCUGACUAUAACGACCUUCAAAAGAUAAUGGCUGUUGCUUCAUUUCCAACCCUCCAAAUCUCAAGCAAGUAUAUCUUUGGGCCAACUGUAACCUAUAACUCUAUAGGGAAGAGGUUUCUGAGAACUCUGUGUCACAGCUUAACCAUACAAAGACAAUACAAACCAUCCCGAUGAUGAUGAUGGUUGGUAAUAAUGAAGAAAAUAAUAUGAGUGUUUUCUCAAGGAAGGCUACUUCUUGAUGGCAGUUCUGGGAGACAUAAGAGAAGUUUUAUUUUUACCCAAAUGGUUGGUAAAUAAAUUACUGUGUGACAUGACAGAGUUCAAGUUAUAUGAUAUAGUAGAUUCACAUUAUGCCAAAAACUAUAAGACUCCCAGACACAGCCCAGGAAUUCAUUUUGAGAGCUAUCAUAGGCUUCUGAAUGUGCUACCAUCUAUGCUCUUAAUUUAAACCUUAAUUUGCUGUGUGGACGACAGACUACUCUGAAAACAACCCCAAAUGCUUCAGUGCAGGACUAUGUGUCGUGGAUAAAGUAACAAAAUUACAUAUUCAACCCAUUAUGGCCAUCCUCUUGUAUGGAAGAUGUAGAUUGUUACCAAUAUUUAACUCUUAUAAUUAACUUGAAUAAAUUUCCUUACAAAAUAAAUAUGUACACUUGUAAAUAUUCCAUUAUAGUAUCUUUCUUAGUGUAGAUAUCCUGGAGUAAAAGAAAAAUAUUUACAAAACAAGGUAACAAUUUUUAAAGCAAAAUAUCUAUUAUCAAAUUGUUCUCCAGAUAGGUAUUACCAAUUACACACCCACCAGCCCAGCAGUGUGAAAAUAUCACAUCUCCCACACCCCCAUCCACACCCACGUGGAAAAUUAUUAUUAAAAAUUAAUUUUUACCAACUUGAGAGGGAAAUGGUCCUAUUUUAAUUUUUUCAGGGGUGGAUUCAUAUGUUUACUAGAUAUGUAUAUGUAUCCUUCUAUGAGAUACUUGUUAGGUUAUUUCCCAUUUCUGUGUUGUGGCAUUAAUUUCUUUUUCUUGUUAAUAAUGCUCCCGAAGUUUUAUGUCAGUCUUUUCAUUUGUUUAUAGUAUUUUAUGGCAAAGGAUUUUCUUAAUUAAGUGGUUGUAGUCAAAUCUGCUAGUUUUUAUCUUUGUUUUCAGUUUGCAAUGUCAUGUAUAGACAUGCCUAUCUACCACCGAAAGUAUUUUAAAAAGCAAUGUGUAGGUUUUCUACUUUUGAAGAAUGUGCGUUUUCUACUUUUGAAGUAUGUGCAUUUUCUACCAAAGUCUUUAGUUUGUUUGAUAUGUGCAAUGAAGAAAAAUAUCUAACAAUACCUUAACUUUUCUCGAAUAAUAUUCCAAUUAUCCUAAUAUCCUUUGUGACUUAAACUUCCUAUUCUGACUUAAAAAGACUUUUAUCAUAAGUGCUCUACUUAAUCAUAGCCUUAGCACAUAGUGUGAGUCCUAGAGUCAGACUACAAGGUAAUUACUGUCACUUACAAGCUGUGUGACCUUAAGUGAUUUAAUUUAAUCAUCCUGUGACUAAGUUUUCUAAUCUGUAAAAUUGGAAUAAUGUGAGGAUAAAAUUAUCAUAAGGAUUAGCAAGCUGAAUUAACACGUGUAACGCUCAUAGACGACUGCCUGGCACAUAGUGAAUACUCAGGAAAUAUUACUGGUUGUUGUGUAGCGAGGUGUAUAAUGAAACACUGGUACAAUUUCAGAUUUUGGGUUUUGAGGACCGGGCUUAGAGGGUCACCUUGGGGAGAAUCUUGUAGAGUCCCACAUCUACCCUCUGCCUCAAUGAGAUACGAUCCUCCACUUUGAUGAGAUACUACCACUUGGAGAACUUGCUACAUGUCAAUCCCUGCUAUGGAGAAAGUAGACUUUUAUUCUAAUGCAGUAGACUUGAAAUCAUUUGAAUGUGAGAGAAGAGCUGGAGUCAGAAAGAGAUAAAAAGAGGGCCUGAGACUAUGCCUUAAAUUGUUAAUACAUUUAAGGGAUAGAAGAAAGAAAAGGAGAACCGUUAGAGAAGAUAGAAAGAAAUUGUUUCCUGGAUCAAAAACAGUUCUAGACUGGACUGUGUCUCCCACCCCUUUAAAUUCAUGUGUUGAAGCUCUAGCCCUCAAUGGGACUGUAUUUGGAGAUAAGACCUUUAAAGAUGUAAUUAAAGUUAAACGAGGUCAUAAGAGUAGGGCCCUAAUCCAAUAAAGCCUGUGUUCUUAUAAGAAGAGGAAGAGACUUCAAGGAUGCCUGGAAAGGCCAUGUGAGGACACAGCCAGGCAGGGGCCAUCUGCAAGCCAAGAAGAGAGCCCUCAGGAGAAACCACACUUGCUAACACCUGGAUCUUGGCUCUCCAACCUCCAGAAUUGUAAGAAAUAAAUUUCUGUUGUUCUAGCCACCCAGUCUGUGGGAUUUUGUUAUGGCAGCCCUGGCAGACUAAUACAGGAUCCAAGAGAAGAGAGAGUUUGAAAAAGGUGGGAGUGAUUGAUUGUGAGAAGUGCUGCUGAAAACACAACAAUAAAGUAAGCUGAGAACUUAAGUGUCUGUUGGAUCAGGAAAUAAGAAGUCAUUGUUAAUUUUGACAAGAACAUUUUAAUGGACUGAUAGAGGCAGAUUGCAGCGGAUUGAAGACUAAAGAGCAGGAUUCACAUAGAAAAUAUGGCAAUAUUUCAAAUCAUCAAAAUGACAAUAUGGCUGAGUAGGUGUUGUAUAAUGAAUAAAGAACUUCAUAAUUAAAUGCUUAUUCACAACUUUUAGUCUGAACAUCUUUUGCUGUAGGAGAUCUUGCCAAAUUGAUUCCCUUCGUACUUCCCAGUCCAAAUCUAAAUUAGUCACUGCUAUUACAUAUAUGUUACCUUAUCAUUUUUAAAUUGUAGUCUGUAUCAUAGUUACUUAUACUUCUGCAGUUACUUAAUUUUCUCUCUCACGAGGCAGUAAGCAAUGUGAGAACAAGGAUCAUAUUUGGUUUAUUCCAUUAUCUAUGGUUAGAACAUAGUGGACAUUUAAUAUGCAUUAAAUAAAACUAAAAUUCAUUCAACAAUAUGUCAUUAAAAUCUUUACAUGUCAAAUAUAUCAUUUUACUGACUGGAUUUUAUGUAUACAUAUAAUUUACACCAGCCUUUCCUACUAUAAAUUAUACUAUCUGGAAUUGUUUAGCCAGUUAAGGAUUAAAUUCUGCCAUAAAAUUUAACUUUUUUCUUUUUUCUCCAGAAAAACUGUUUUGACCCUGGGCUUUUUUUGCAAGUAGUUUUCUAAUUUUCUAAAUAAUUUUUUGGCCUGUCAUGGUAGCUCAUGCCUACAAUCCCAGCACUUUGUAAGGCAGAGGUGAGAGGAUGGCUUGAGGCCAGGAGUUUGAGACCAGCCUGGACAACAUAGUGAGACCUAACUCUAUGUAUUAAAAAUACAAAUAAAAACAUUAGCAGGGCAUGGUGGUGCAUGUGAGCAUGAGAGGUCGAGGCUGCAGUGAGCAGUGAUUGCGCCACUGCACUCCAGCCUGUGCAACAGACUGAAACUCUGUCUCGAAAGAAAAAGAAAAAAAAUUUUCAUGGUAAUUGCCUUAUUCAAGUUUCCAGCUCUAGUUGUACAUAGCAUUCUCAUUUUUAAUCUGUGUUAAGUAAUUAUUUCAUAUUCUUAAUUCUAACUUUGAUGGCUUUUUUCCUUUAAAAAAACUUUAUUGAAGUAUAAUUUACAUAUAAUAAAAUGCACCUAUUAAGUUGUACAGUUUGAUGAGCUUUCACAAAUGCCACCACCAUAAACAAGAUAUAGAACACUUCCAUCACUCAGAGAAGUACACUCAUGCCCCUUUGCAGACAAUCACUUCUACCUCUGCCCAAGGCAACCACUGAUAUACUUUGUCAAUUUAGAUGAAGAUCUCAUAUAAAUUGAAUCAUAUGGCACAUAUUCAGCAGAACAUGGUGUCACAGGAAUUCAUCCAUGUAGUUGUAUGUAUCAGUAGUUGAUGCCUUUUUAUUGCUGCAUAGUAUCUUUCCAAUGAAACAUGUUAUUCUUUUCAAAGAAUAAAAAAAUUCUUUAGAAACAAUUGCUUAUCCAUUCACAAGAUGAUAAAUAUUUAGGUUAUCAUCAGGUGCUUGAGUUUUCUAUUGCUAUUUUAACAAAUAAACACAAACUUGAUGGGAUACAAUGACACAAAUUUAUCAUCUUAUAGCUCUGGAGAUAAAAAGUCCAAAAUAAGUUUCAUGGUACUAAAAUCAAGAUGUGGCAGGACUCCAUUUCUUCUGGAUGUUUAGAGGCAGUGUUUUCUUUCUUUUUCCAGCUUCUAGAGGUUCCCACAUUCCUUGGCUCCUAGGCUCCUUUCAUCUUCAAAGCCAACACAUCUUUCUCAUAGCUUCUUACCUCUGAGUUGACAAUGUCUCUUUUUUGCUUGUAGGUAGCCUUGUGAUUACAUUGGGCUUACCCAGAUCCAGAUCAUCUAGGAUAAUCUCUCUACCCAAGAUCUUUAAUGUAAUCACACCUGCAAAGUCCCUUUUGGGAAGAAAGGUAAUAUAUUCAUAGUUUCUGGAGAUUAGGCCUUUCCAGGCAAAGAGGUGGAAAUCUUUGUGGGGCCAUUUUUCUGCCUCCUACACAAGGUAAAGGAUAUUAUGAGUGAAGCUGUGGUGAGCAUGCAUGAACAAGUCUCUUGCGAACAUAGGUUUUUAUUUCAUUUAGUGGUGGACGUGCUGAGCUGGACAGUAAAUAUGUUUAGCUUUAUGAUAAACUGCCAAAUAGUUUUCCAAAAUGGUUGCUCCAUGUUACAUGCUCACUAACACUAUUUGACAUUUCAUUGACUCCUUAUCUUUUUCAAUACUCAAUAUUGUCAAACUUUCAAAUUUUAGCCAUUUAGUGGGUAAGGAGUAGUGUCUCAACUGUGGUUUUAAUUUGUAUUUUCUUGAUGACUAAUAUGUUGAGCAUCUUUUCCCAUGAUAACUGAUUACACAUAUAUAUUUUUGUGUGAAGUAUGUGUUCAACAUUUAUGCCCAUUUUCAUUGUUUUUUGUUGUCUUGUUAAACUGUAAGAAUGUGUGUGUGUGUGUGUGUGUGUGUGUGUGUGUGUAACAAGUGUUUUUUUAGAUAUAUAUUUUUUGAAUAUUGCCUCAAAGUCUUGGGCUUCUCUUUUUCUUAACUGAAUAUCUUUCUAUGAGCAAAACUUUAAACAUUUGGUGUAAUUUUUCAUUUUUUUCUAUUAUUGUGAGUAUAGUGCGUAGCAUACCAUCAUGAUGAUGAUUUUUUCCUAUCCUCCCACAAUCUGUUUUGUAUUUUAGCUUUUACAUUUAGUCCUGUGAUCCAUUCUGAGUCAGUUUUUGUGUACGGCCUGAUGUAAGGGUGAAGGCCCAUUUCUUUUCCAUAGUAAUACCCAGUUGUUUCAGUACUAUUUAUUGAAAUUACUGUAUUUCUCUUAUUGAUAUGCAUUGGCAACUCUGUAGAAAAUUAAUUAUAUUAUUGUACUUAGCAUUUUAAUAAUAUUUUAAAUCCUUUUGUUAAGUAUGUAUUGCUUAUAUUUUCUCUUUAUAUGUUUCUUUUGACUGUCUUUCUAAUACAUACCUAUUUAAUAAACAUGUCAAAA
This 6855-nucleotide long non-coding RNA is filed under the name Homo sapiens (human). RNAcentral's name for it is "HSALNT0009571". Lineage: Eukaryota; Metazoa; Chordata; Mammalia; Primates; Hominidae. The record is from RNAcentral.